Molecule: long non-coding RNA, 705 nt
Organism: Cyprinus carpio carpio
Lineage: Eukaryota; Metazoa; Chordata; Actinopteri; Cypriniformes; Cyprinidae
Source: Ensembl
AGUAGUGGAACUUGCCUUUAUCUGAAGCAUUAUUGGUCAUAUUUAUGAAAAAAGCUUGUGGCAACUGUCUUCUCUGAAUAGCGGUCUUGUGAACACCGGCCUCAGUACAAUAAAGAGGACACUUCACAUUCUACAACACCUAAAAAUAACCCAGAUUCGACAGAACUACACACCCAUCUGAGGCCUACCUGUUUUACUUCAUGAUCACCCCAGAUACUUCUACAAUUAACCCGCUAUGUGUCUGAUGUUGAUGCGGUCUGGGCACUAGUAUCUGUUGGCUUGCUGACUAUCACUGAAGAUGAAGUACUUUUCCAAAUCUUCUCUGCCUUGACCCUGUGUCUUCUGCCAUCAUUGUUCAGUGUAGUACUGCAAAGAACAGUCUCCAGGGUCUACCUCCAACAUCUGCUUCCGGACCGCCAUGUGCUAUGUUUGGAUUACUGGUACAUGUGGAUUACCCUGAUACUGUGAAGAACACUUACAAUAUGAUGCUUGACUUGGGACAGAAAAAAAAAACAUUGGCAACUUGUGUGGCCAACUCAUUGCCAUUCUUAAUCUCAUCAUACUGCUACCUCUGCUGUUUAGCAUAAACAAAAGCAGACUGUUUUUGCUUUGUUUCAAAAUGUUUGUAAUACAAGUUAAAACUGCAUUGAAAUAUUUAAAAAAUAUAUUAUCUUUAACUUUGAACUGACACUACCUUUGAUUUAU